AAACUAUCUCUCCUCAAAAAAAGACAUAUAAAUGUGAUGGAAGCUAAAGAAAUAUCACAAAGGUCACAGUUAGGUGUCGCUCAAUGGUUUCUCCCCAUAGUAGUUUCAACUUUACAUAAGGAACUACAUACAUUUACUUCAUUAUGUAUCAAUAACAACAAUAUACGUCUUGUAUAUCCUCAUACUAAUUGCUAGUUUUCAUUUAAAUAGCACAUGUUUCUAGUACAUUAGUCACUGUACAAGUUUCUAGCAUCAUGAGCGGUUGUACAUUACCUCGUCUGACCAUGAAGAUACUUUGUUUCCUAUACUUUCUGCUGUUGUGCUUGACAAUAAGCACAGCUCAAAUUGACAUCAGGAAAAGGCCAAACGAAGACAAAUAUCCGCAUGCGAAGACCGCGAGGGAAAUAUUAUGCAGCUACUAUCCCAAUCAAUGCCAAUGACAAACACAACAUUGUAAUGAAGUAAAUUAAGAGAAGAAAGAGAAAGAAGAAGAAACUAAGACAUCGUUAGCGAACAAGCGAGCAAGAAUGGCAGAGAAGAGAGAAGAGCACAUCACACUCAAAAUCAUUUAACUAUAAAAAUCACGGUUUACACACGUAAAUUAAUGGUGAAAAACGCUACUAGUUUCGAGUCACAAAGGGACUCUCCUCCGUCCAUUACCGUCAUCAUUCAACGCAUUUGUAACGCCACUGGUGUUUCAAGUGUCCAUGGGCAGCGGCGAUUGCUUACCAUCAGGUGAUCCGUCUGCUCGUUUGCCGGCUUAUUCCAUAAAACAAAAACAUGAGCAGCGUGCGCAGACGCGGCGAUGUCGCGCAGCUAAUUGUAACCUAUAUUCUUCGGGACGUAACUUGGCAAUUUUUUUUUAAAUAUUAAGAAAGUUCCGCCAAUCGCACAGGGAUUGAUCCUCACAAGCAUCGUGCGCAGACGCGGCGUUGCGCUGACUAUUGAACGUCCGCGUCCGCGUAUUUUUAGUUAAUAAAGUAAUUUUCUUGAAAAAAAAAUUUAUAACAAAAUCUUGCCAAGUUAUCUGCCAACCUUUAUACUACCUGUGACUUGGAAACUAGUAUAGCUUUUCUCCAUUUAUUUACGUACGUAAGCCGUGAUUUUUAGUUAAUUUAAUAUGUCUCACGAUAGGUACGGUAUUAUAAAAACGUAUAAAAAUAAUUUAUUUCAAAUAGACCAGGAAGGCACUUUAGAAUAUCAAAAUAAAAUAUUAAAAAAAUGUACAGACGAAUUGGAAACCUCAUUCUUUCUGGAUAGUUGAUUUGCGAAAAUAAACAAUAAUUUUAUUACGAACAA
Molecule: long non-coding RNA, 1299 nt
Organism: Spodoptera frugiperda (fall armyworm)
Lineage: Eukaryota; Metazoa; Arthropoda; Insecta; Lepidoptera; Noctuidae
Exons: 2
Source: RefSeq, a predicted model, not a curated record